ACAUUCUCAUCAAUGUAGCCUUUAUACACUGUCCCAAAUCCACCUUCGCCAAGGAUGUAAUCCGAGCGGAAGCUCUUAGUUAUAGUUUCCAGUUCAUAUAAACUGAAGGCAAUAACAUGGGUAUAAAGGACAGCAUUCUUCCUGGAAUCCUCAAAGUUUCGAGGGGUAGAAGAAGGAUCAUUCAGAUCUGAUACAGGCUGACUGUGCUUCUUCUCAGAGGGACCAUUUUUAACACCCACAGAAGAGGAAGAUAACAUAUGGUGUAGCUGCUGUUGAACUUGAGCAUUGGAGACAACAGCAGAUUCCUCUCUAGUGCC
RNAcentral lists this unclassified non-coding RNA (317 nucleotides) under Hevea brasiliensis (rubber tree). Lineage: Eukaryota; Viridiplantae; Streptophyta; Magnoliopsida; Malpighiales; Euphorbiaceae. The record is from RNAcentral.